AGCUCCGCGCCACCACGCGGACCAAAGAACGCGCACGCUUCAUUCAAGGCAGAAUCUGACAAAUCACUCUCUGUGAACGCUCGGGCUCAGAGAACCGCGGAGCUCAAUUUGGAAUCCUCGCACGCCGGGGAACCCAAGCAGCUGGAGAGCUCUCGGGUCUCGGCCCUGGGCAAGACCGGGCGCCGGGCCCAGGGCACCCGUGGCCGGCCCUCGAGUCCCUCCCUGAACCCUUCGUUCGGUGCCCACAUCGCACCUCGGCCUUGCCCCGCCCGCCUACCUUCCAGAUCCUCAUCGUCCGAGUCCGAUUCACUCUCCCCGUCCUCCUCGAUGACGGGGACCCCGCUGGACUCCUGCGCGUGAAAGGUCGUCGGGGGGGCGAUGAACGAGUCUGAUUCCUGGCGGCGGGCCUCGCGCAGGCGUGUGAAGUACUCCACCGCGAAGUCGACGAGGUCGGGCGGCUGCUGCCGAAGCACCUCCACGGUGUAGCCCUGCAGCAGCUCCGUGAGCCCCGGUGGGAUCUGGAUGUGGCUCAUGCCGGCGACCGCUGAGAGGGCCGGCGGGUCGGGGCCGCCGGCGGCCGCAACCU
RNAcentral lists this long non-coding RNA (586 nucleotides) under Rattus norvegicus (Norway rat). RNAcentral describes it as "long non-coding RNA NONRATT029000". Lineage: Eukaryota; Metazoa; Chordata; Mammalia; Rodentia; Muridae. The record is from RNAcentral.